UGACAGUGUGUCAGAAGGAGAUCAUCUACUUCCAGCCCAUGGUUUGCUGCAGGGAACUGAAACCGUGGAUGAAGGCUACUGCACUUCAUUUCUUUCAUUAAUGAGUGACAUUUCAUUAAUGAACCAAAGGACAAGAAAGAUCAACAUAAAAGUGACUUUUUCCCAUCAUCCCUACACUUCUAGUAGGUUGAAGUUGUUUCUGAAAGGAAUGAAUGCUAGCUUAAAUUCAUUUGCCAUUGUCAUGCAUUAAGGUAUGUAAUGCAGUACAAACAAUAUGGUGAUCAUCUUAUAAGUUAGGAAAUAACAAAACCUGAAUGUUGUUAAUUGGAAGAGAGUUAGAGUAACAGAAAUC
RNAcentral lists this long non-coding RNA (352 nucleotides) under Mustela putorius furo (domestic ferret). RNAcentral's name for it is "lncRNA (ENSMPUG00000023910.1)". Lineage: Eukaryota; Metazoa; Chordata; Mammalia; Carnivora; Mustelidae. The record is from RNAcentral.